CCUACGGGAGGCAGCAGUGAGGAAUAUUGGUCAAUGGACGGAAGCCUGAACCAGCCAAGUAGCGUGAAGGAUGACUGCCCUAUGGGUUGUAAACUUCUUUUAUAUGGGAAUAAAACGUUCCACGUGUGGGAUUUUGUAUGUACCAUAUGAAUAAGGAACGGCUAACUCCGUGCCAGCAGCCGCGGUAAUACGGAGGAUCCGAGCGUUAUCCGGAUUUAUUGGGUUUAAAGGGAGCGUAGGUGGAUUGUUAAGUCAGUUGGGAAAGGUUGCGGCUCAACCCGAAAAUUGCAGUUGAAACUGGCAGUCUUGAGUAAAGUAGAGGUGGGCGGAAUUCGUGGUGUAGCGGUGAAAUGCUUAGAUAUUACGAAGAACUCCGAUUGCGAAGGCAGCUCACUGGACUGCAACUGACACUGAGGCUCGAAAGUGUGGGUAUCAAACAGGAUUAGAUACCCUUGUAGUC
RNAcentral lists this ribosomal RNA (460 nucleotides) under uncultured bacterium. RNAcentral's name for it is "partial 16S ribosomal RNA". It matches the Rfam family "Bacterial small subunit ribosomal RNA", at positions 338 to 795 of the family's 1533-position model. The record is from RNAcentral.